Molecule: ribosomal RNA, 305 nt
Filed under: uncultured bacterium
Lineage: Bacteria
Description: bacterial SSU rRNA
Rfam family: Bacterial small subunit ribosomal RNA
Source: RNAcentral
GUUUCCUACGGGACGCAGCAGUGGGGAAUAUUGCACAAUGGGGGAAACCCUGAUGCAGCGACGCCGCGUGAGCGAAGAAGUAUUUCGGUAUGUAAAGCUCUAUCAGCAGGGAAGAAAAAUGACGGUACCUGAGUAAGAAGCACCGGCUAAAUACGUGCCAGCAGCCGCGGUAAUACGUAGGGAGCAAGCGUUAUCCGGAUUUACUGGGUGUAAAGGGCGUGUAGGCGGGCAUGCAAGCCAGAAGUGAAAUCUGGGGGCUUAACCCCCAAACUGCUUUUGGAACUGCGUGUCUUGAGUGAUGGAGA